Molecule: ribosomal RNA, 407 nt
Filed under: uncultured bacterium
Lineage: Bacteria
Description: partial 16S ribosomal RNA
Rfam family: Bacterial small subunit ribosomal RNA
Source: RNAcentral
AUUGAACGCUGGCGGCAGGCCUAACACAUGCAAGUCGAGCGGAGCGGCGGACGGGUGAGUAAUGCCUAGGAAUCUGCCUGGUAGUGGGGGAUAACGUAGGGAAACGGGCGCUAAUACCGCAUACGAUCGGAUGAGCCGAGGUCGGAUUAGCUAGUUGGCGGGGUAAAGGCCUACCAAGGCAACGAUCCGUAACUGGUCUGAGAGGAUGAUCAGUCACACUGGAACUGAGACACGGUCCAGACUCCUACGGGAGGCAGCAGUGGGGAAUAUUGGACAAUGGGCGCAAGCCUGAUCCAGCCAUGCCGCGUGUGUGAAGAAGGUCUUCGGAUUGUAAAGCCCUUUUAGUUGGGAGGCGGUACCCACAGAAUAAGCACCGGCUAACUUCGUGCCAGCAGCCGCGGUAAUAC